RNAcentral lists this long non-coding RNA (8339 nucleotides) under Podarcis lilfordi (Lilford's wall lizard). The record is from RNAcentral. Lineage: Eukaryota; Metazoa; Chordata; Lepidosauria; Squamata; Lacertidae.
CCACCCCAGCAUGCCUCCCUAGGGAGCCCAUGGCAGCAAAAAGCUAAGCAGCAAAACAAUGCAAUAUUUUAAACAUUUUCCAUUUAAUGGUUGCAACUGUUUCAGUGGUCUUAUUUAUCGUUGUAACCCACCCUGAGACCUUGUGGGGAAGGGCAGGUAUGAAAUGUAAUAAAAUAAAUAUUUUUUUAAAAGUAAAAAAUAUUUAAAAACAUAAAGCGUUUCUAAAACCAGUUAUGGCUGAUUCGUCAGCUGUGACUGUUUCUGGAAUACAACAGCCAGAACGCUGUCAGAGGCAGAUUUAAGGCAACAUGACUGGUUCCCCUGCUCAGGGUGCCGAGCCGAGAGGGCAUCUUCCUGCCUCCUUCCCAAAGCCUAGUUAGCGCAUGCCCCGCUCCGGGAAGGAGACAGGAGGGAUUUUUUCCUUUUUCCUUUCUCCUUCUAUGUUAGAACUUCCCUGGCUUUUUUCUGGCCCAUGUUGGACCGGUCCAGAUAGUUAGCUUGGUGAAAACUUGACGUUUUCAUCCCCAAAAAAGUUUUUGAUUGAGGACUUCCGGGGGGCGGCGCGAACGGUAAUGGCGGUCUUCUCCCGAUCGGAGAAGAAGCUCCGCUGAAACCGGGUCGUCCGCUACGGCGAAGCGGAGACCCAAGGAGAAAAACCCCAGGCAGCAAGAGCCUGGGGUCCUGAGGCUCGGCGGGCGCCAAGAGCAGCCCUCCAGCUGCAGAAGGAGCCUCGUAAGAGGCUCCGGAGCGUGGAGGGGGGCUGCGGCGCUGUGAGCCGUUUCACAGUCAGCGGAGUGAAGCCGCGCUGCUGCUGCCGGUGAGCGCUGAACCCUUUUCCUGCUAAAAUUCGGAUCUGGCAGAAAACAACUUACUCGUGAGUAAAGACUGAAUCACUUGGAAUUACAAAUUUUAAAUGAGAAGGUUUAAAUUGACUUGAAUUUGGCUGAAAGCGGAGAGACGUGGAAACAGGAAGUCCGUCUUCCGCUGCCAUUGAACUUGGAAAAAAAGCAACUAAAGUGGAGGAGUGGAGGCUGAAAGAAAGAGAUUUUAAACUCCACACAGCCAAGCAUCUAUGGAACUUACAAUUUAAAGUAAAAUUAGCAAGUUAAAGAUUUGGACCUUUUAUUUGCACUUGACUUUCCCCCUUUUAUUGGAUUACAAAUUGGAAGGUGAAACCCAGAGUCAGGAUUGCUUGAGCACUGUAACAGUGGGCUGUCAGUGUUUGACUUGGAUACUGUAUAUUAGAAGUUGCAACAAUCUGAGGGUAUUGAGACCUUUUAAAUUUGAAACAUUCUUUUGGAGACAAAUAAGCACUGUCUGCAACAAAGUGAUUACUUUUAAACUCUGCUUAAUACUUAUAUUGGAAGGUUCUGGGACAUUAAAUUAGACUCUGAAAAGACACUUUAAGCUCCCCCUAGAGGAUUGGAUUAAAACAGUGACUUUAUAAAAACAUUUACUUUCGAUUCUCUUGCUGUCUGCUUGCUCUGGGCCUCUCUAUUCCUGUGGGAAAAACUCAGUGUGACCUUGACUGAUAGAUAACAUUGGAAUGAGUGGUACAAGAAGAAGAGGAAGAGUUAGACAAACAACUCUAACAAAUCUAACCUCAACCUCGCAGACACGUAGAUCAUCUGUGCCUACUUUGCCCUCAGAAGUACAACUUGAAGAAGCUGCCUUGUCACAGGCAAAAGAGGGAGAGGGUGAAGUAGAGCAGUUACAAUUGGAAGAUAUGGCCUCAGGAGCAUCUGUUUCUGUGCUAGAAAAAAUCUUUGAAAAAUUGGAAGCUUUGGACAAGAAAGUAGAUGCGCAAUCAGCAAAGAUUGAUAAAAAUACAGAUUGUCUAAACAAAUUAACUACACAGGUGGGACAGAAUACACAAGCAAUUGGACAGUUGACGGAGGCCUCAGUAGAAAACCGAAAAUUGGCUGAGGAUACCAGACAAAAAUUGGAAAAUUUAGAGCAAGAGGUAAGACCACUCACUAAACAAGUUGGGGAACAUCAGACUUAUCUUUCUAUGAUAGAACUGCGAAAUCGUGAGAAUAAUCUGAGGAUUAGAUCAUUACAAGAGGCAGAAGAAGGAAAUCUAACUGAGUUUUUGACCAAAGAACUUUCCAAGUUCUGGAAUUUGGAAGAAAAGGACUUUAAAAUUGUGUCAGCUUUCAGACUUGGAAGAUUUACAAAGAAGGAGAGGCCCAGGGAUUGUUUGAUUACAUUGAGAUCGAAGGAGGAAAGGGAUAAGAUUUUGGGCCUACAUUACGAAAAGUCACUGGAAGUUUUGGAUAGAAGAAUUGAGAUAUAUAAAGAUAUCCCAAGACAACUGUUGGACCUUAGAGCCGCCUAUUCCGAACUUGCUAAACUAUUAAGGAGCAACGCAAUUCCAUUCAGGUGGGAUUUUCCCCAAGGAUUAUCUUUUACCUUUAGAGCGAGAAAGGUUAAAAUCAGAACAUUGGAAGAGAGAGAUAAAUUUUUGGCUACACACGGAGAGGACCUACAUAAAGGAAUUGAACUACCUUCCGGGCCUGAGGCAAAGCCAGCAUCAAUAUCUCCACCUCGGGAACUUGAAGAUCAAGAGAAGACACCACCCCAGGAGAAAUAACCAGAUAGAUCCAGGAUGUCUCUGCAACUGUUGAGUUGGAAUAUUAAUGGUUGCAAUAUUCCGGAGAAAAGGAAGAAAAUAUUUCAUAUAUUAAAAAAGAACAAUUGGACAUUAUUUGCUUACAAGAAACACAUGUGACGAGGCUCCACAGAAAAGUGUUAAUAAAUAAAAGAUUGGGCCAGGAAUUUAUUUCGUCGGAUAAAGUGAAGAAGAGAGGAGUGGUGAUAUAUGCAAAAGAGAGCCUGUCACCUAAAUUUCUAUUUAAAGAUGAGCAUGGAAGGAUUUUGGCUAUUGAGAUACAAUAUCAAGGAGAGAAACUGCUGAUAUUAGGAAUCUAUGCGCCUAAUGAAGGGAAAUCGGAAUUUUACAAGAAGUUGCAGGGGACAAUGCUGGAUCAUCUGGAUUACAACAACAUCAUAAUGAUGGGAGACAUGAACAGGGUCGUGUCAACUAACAUGGACAAGUCGCAAAGUCAAAACAUCACAAAAGAUGGCAGACUACCUAAAACUUUUUUUGAAAUGACUGACAAUAUGGACUUGAUCGACAUUUGGAGAACAAAGAACCCACUAGGCAGAGAAGGAACAUUCUUUUCUGAAGCCCAACUGACCUGGACAAGAAUCGACCAAAUAUGGAUCUCUAGAGGCCUGGCACCUAGGGUUAGAAAAGUGGAAAUCUGCCCAAAGACCUGUUCUGACCACAACGCAGUAAAGAUGGACAUGACACUACUACCAACUGGAUCCUUUAGAUGGAAGAUGAAUGACAAUUUGUUUAGAGAUCAGGAAAUUACCAAGAAGGCCCAAAAAGUUUUGAAAGAUUAUUUUGAGAUAAAUAUGAACAAUUCGGUGGAAAAAGAAUCGUCUGGGACGCAAGCAAAGCUGUUAUGAGGGGAUUCCUGAUACAACAGAAUGUAGUAAAGAAAAAAACACAAAAUGAGAAAAAAGACAAGAUUUUGGAUAAAAUAAAAGAAUUAGAGAAGAAAUUAAGAGUGAAUCCAAAGUCACAGCCAACUCUGAGAGAAAUUAAACUGUAUCAAACACAGUAUUCUAAAUUGAUAAAUCAGGAAAUUGAAUGGAAGAUCAAAUUAAUGAAACAAAAACGUUUGAGUCGGCGAAUAAAUGUGGAAAACUGCUAUCCUGGCAGUUGAAGAGAAGACAAAGAUUAAACACGGUUACAAAUUUAGAGGUUGAUGGAAGAAACAUUCAGAAUCCGGUGGACAUUAGAAAGUGUUUCCAGAGAUAUUUUAAAAAAUUAUAUACCCAAGGGCCGCAAGACGAAGUUGAGAUUAAACAAUUUUUGCCAAAAAUGGAUUAUCUAAACUGUCACAAGAAAAUAGGACAAUCCUGAACUCUAAAAUAACACGACAGGAGAUUGAACAAGCUAUUCAGAACAUGCAACUUGGCAAAUCUCCAGGGCCAGACGGGCUGACCUCCAAGUAUUACAAGAUACUAAAAGACUAUUUGAUACAACCUUUGAUGGAGGUUAGCAAUGAAAUUAUGGAGGGACGAGGGCACCGGAUUCGUGGAAGGAAGCGUUUAUCACAUUGAUACCAAAGUCAGAAACUGAAAAGACACAACUGAAGAACUACCGUCCCAUCUCCCUUUUAAAUGUGGAUUACAAAAUAUUUGCAGAUAUUUUGGCAAGUAGAUUUAAAAAGUUUUAAAUGAAGUAAUUCAUAAGGACCAGGCCGGUUUUCUCCCAGGUAGACAUUUGUUUGCUAACACAAGGAACAUUAUUGAUAUUUUGGAACUUCUCCAAACUGACAUAAAUACAAAAGCUGUUUUAAUUUUUAUAGAUGCGGAGAAGGCCUUUGAUAACAUUUCUUGGAAAUUUAUGAUGGGAAACUUAAAAGAGAUGGGAGUGGGACGGGGUUUUGAGAAUGGGAUUGAGGCGAUAUAUUCAGAACAGAAAGCAAAACUGAUAGUUAAUAAUGUGGUUACAGAAGAGUUCAAAAUUGAAAAAGGGACACGACAAGGUUGCCCUAUUUCCCCUUUGUUAUUUAUUUCGGUCCUGGAAGUGCUAUUGAACAUGAUUAGAGGGACCAGCUGGUGGAAGGAAUUCAGGUUGGUCAGAAACAAUAUAAAUUAAAAGCUUUUGCAGAUGACCUGGUUUUGACCUUGCAGAAGCCAGAGCCUAGUACGAAAAGAGUACUACAAUUGAUUAAUGAUUUUGGUCGGGUGGCGGGAUUUAAAUUAAACAAACAGAAAACUAAGGUUUUGGGGAAAAAUCUGACUGAGACAGAGUCAGAACGGUUUCAGAAUGAGACGGAACUUAAUGUGGUUAAAAAGUAAAAUACCUAGGGGUAAACAUAACAGCAAAAAUCUAAGUCUAUUUAAGGAUAAUUAUGAAAAAUGUUGGAUAGAAAUUAAGAGAGACUUAGACAGUUGGUCAAAAUUGAAACUUUCUUUGUUAGGCCGAAUUGCUGCGAUUAAGAUGAAUGUAUUGCCAAGAAUGUUGUUUUUAUUUCAAACACUGCAGGUAUUGGACAAAAUGGAGUGCUUUCAGAAGUGGCAGAGAGACAUUUCGAAGUUUGUCUGGCAGGGCAAAAGCCCAGAAUUAAGUUUAAGAUAUUAACCGAUGCUAAACAAAGAGGGGCUUUGCCCUGCCAGACUUAAAGUUGUACUAUGAAGCCGCAGCGUUCUGCUGGCUAAAAGACUGGCUACUUCUUGAAGACACUGAUGUGUUAGAUUUGGAGGGGUUUAACAAUGUUUUUGGAUGGCAUGCAUAUUUAUGGUAUGACAAAGUUAAAGCAAAUAAGGCCUUUAAGAACCAUAUUGUUAGAAAAUCACUGUUUAAUGUCUGGACAAAAUAUAAAGACUUGCUGGAAAAUAAAACACCAAGGUGGCUUUCACCUUUGGAAGCUAAGGCCGAAAAAGACCCAAUAUGGAGGCCAAAUGGCCAAAAUAUUGGGAAAUACUAGAAAAGAUGGAGACAAUUGGAAAUUGCAGAGCUUGGAGAAAAUGAAAGACAAAGUGCGAGAUUGGUUACACUAUGCUCAGAUUAAAGAAGUUUUUAAAAGUGAUAAGAAACUAGGGUUCCAGGUGGAGAAAUCGAAAUUAGAAACAGAAUUGUUAGAACCAAAGACUAAGAUACUUUCAAGGAUGUAUAACUUGCUGUUGGAAUGGAAUACACAGGAUGAAAUGGUUAAAUCGGCCAUGAUAAGGUGGGCACAGGAUAUUGGGUAUAAUAUUAUGUUUGAGGACUGGGAAAGGCUGUGGAGUAAUGGAUUGAAAUUUACUGCAUGUAAUGCUUUGAAAGAAAAUGUAAUGAAAAUGAUUUAUAGAUGGUAUAUGACCCCAGUCAAACUUGCAAAAAUUUACCACCUGUCUGACAACAAGUGCUGGAAAUGCAAAGAGUGUGAAGGAACGUUCUUUCACCUCUGGUGGACAUGCCCUAAAGUGAAGGCGUUCUGGGAAAUGAUUUAUAAUGAAUUGAAAAGGUAUUUAAAUAUACUUUCACUAAGAAACCAGAGGCUUUCCUUUUGGGUAUUGUCAGCCAAGGGGUGGCAAAGAAGGACGAGUCAGUUGUUCUGUAUGCAACAACAGCAGCAAGGAUACUACUCGCAAAACAUUGGAAAACCCAAGAUCUACCCACACUGGAAGAAUGGCAGAUGCAACUGAUAGACUAUAUGCAACUGGCUGAAAUGACUGGCAGAAUCCGUGACCUGGGAGAAGAGAGAAUCGAGGAGGAUUGGAAGAAAUUUAAGAACUACCUACAAAAACAUUGUGAUUUGAUUGAAUGCUGAAUAAGAUGCUGGACUAAAUAACUGAGCACCACUUAACUUAGAAAUUUUUAAGGAAACAAGAAAAAUUGUGAAAGUUUAACUCUUUAUGAGAACUUUAAGAUUAUGAAAUAUCGAAGAGAUAUAAGAAUUUAAAUAAGAUGAUAAAUUGCUGACAAAAUGUUAUAAUGAUGAAGGUGGGAGCGGGAGAUGUGAGGAAGUCCAAAGAAAAUGUGAAAUUAUGUUAAGACGAAUGCUAUAUUGUUUAUUACAUUUAUUCCUAUUGUAAAACCCAAUAAAUUGCUUUAAAAAAAAAAAAAAGAAAGAAAACUUGACGUUUUCAUCCCCAAAAAAGUUUUUGAUUGAGUUUCCACUGCAUUUUAAUGUUUUAAUGUUGUAUUUUAAUCUUGUUUUUUAAGCUGUAUUUCAAUCAAUUGUUUUUAUAUUUGGUGUUAGCCGCCCUGAGACCCUUCUUGGCUGGGGAGGGCGGGGUAUAAAUAAAUUAUUUUAUCAUUAUUAUUAUUAUUAUUAUUAUUAUUAUUAGGUUGGGAGGCAUCAAAUUUUGGCCUCGCACAGGGUGCCAUAUUACCAAGGCCGCAGUAACCCAUGGUUUGGCAACUUCCAAGCUAGAAAUGUACUCUUCUUGGGGCUUCCUUUGAAGACUGUGCAAAAUGUGGCUACCAGAACCAUGAAUGCACCAGUGAGCAUAAUCACAUAAGAUCACCAUUAAAGGGGUUCCAUUGGUUGUCUGUAAUUGAGUGGGCAAAUUCAAGGCCCUGACUUUAACAUAUGAAGUUCCAAACAACUUGGAACCCAAAUAUCCAAAAGUGUGCAUCCUGCUAUCAGUCUGCCUGUGUAUUAAAAUUGAUAGUAGAGGCUCUUGUUGUGGUCCUGCCAUUGAAGCAAGCUCACAACAUGGUCACCUGAGGCAGGGUCUUCUCAGUGGUGGCACCUCACCUGUAGAAAUCCCUUGCAUGGGGUGCCAUAGUUCACCACGACUCCUCUCAUAGCUUCCACAAGCUUGGGUCCAGCAGCAGCAGCCAGUUGUGCCUCUUGGCAUAGCCUCUCCCAGCCAGCAUGCAUAGAGUCCUGCUGCACAUCCUCCUUGUUCUCAAAACACCUUGCAAAAAAAAUCUCUGUGUAAAAGGACAGGGGUUUUUUUUCCUGUGCAACACCAUGUCCAGUAGGGGCUUUUGUCUUGCAGAUGGCUUUUGCAAGACCACCAUCUCCCUCUGCCCUUCUGUCUGGCAAAAAAAUCCAAGCUCAGGCUGUCAGCUCUGAUUAACCCCUAGCACCCAAGAAUCUAGAGAGGGAAAUCUGGCACCCAGGAAUCUGUGGGAUCCCUCUCCCCCCACUAACCCAUAGCAUUAUUAAUGGGUUAUUCCUCUGUUGUGGAUGGCUCUGGGAAGAAGGACAGGAUAUAAAUUGCAAUUAUAAAUAAAACAAAUCUCGAGGUGUGCUGAGAGGUCUGUUUUUGCCCUAUUCAGCUGAUUUAAUGAAGAUAGUUCAACCAUUAGUUCCCAUGGAAACACAUCAUCGCAGCAUCCCAAUGCUAUUAACACUCGUUUCUUCAAGUCCAAAACUCUAUCCAGGUAAGACAGACCAGAGUGAUAAUCCUUUCUGGAGAAAUACGAUAGUAAAACUCAUUAAAGUAUACAUGGGUGGAGAUGGUCCUUAAGAUAUCUCAGCCCAGGCCCAUAAUUUUUAGGGCCUUAACAGUUAAAAUCAGCCAUUUCAGCUGAGCCUGGACACAAAAUGGCAACAAAUGAAGGUUGCACAGUAUCAAAGCAAAAGGUCUUGACCACUGAAUAGUCUUGCAGCUCUAUUAUAAAGCAACUAAAUUUUCUGAAUGUUUUUCUUAGGCAGUACAGUGUGAAACCAGGGAUGACUGCAGAAAAAACCUAGUUCCAGAAAGCAAACAGCUGGCAAGGAGGAUGAUUAAGGGAAUAAAGUUUUAGUGUAUGCUAGGAUGACCUGCUCACUGCCUUGCCUUUUCCACCUGACCUGAAAGGGCAGGACCCUGACUGG